CCAGCAUGAGGACCCUCGGCCUCCUUGCUGUCCUUCUCCUGGUGGCCCUCCAGGCCCAGGCUGGGCCCCUGCCAGAGGAAGCUGAGGAAGCUCUAGACCAGGAGCAGCCUGGGCCAGAGGAUGAGGAUCUGGCCAUUUCCAUCAGAGUGCAUGAAAACUUCCUCCUUCAAGAUCCAGCAAGGAGAAUGAGGUGCGUGUGCCGACCAUUCUGCUUGCCUGGGGAGAGACGCCGCGGCCGCUGCUUGAGAAUCUUGUCGUCAUGCUGUCGCUGAGACUGCGAGGUGGAGAGGGCAGACACGGCCUGCUGGGAGAGCUGAAGCGCACAGCUCUCACUCCUCCACCUGGUGCUCAAUUUGCUUUCCCCACCCCAAAUACAGUAUUUGUUGCAAUA
Long non-coding RNA from Otolemur garnettii (small-eared galago), 391 nucleotides. RefSeq lists it as uncharacterized. The transcript is spliced from 2 exons. The record is from RefSeq and is a predicted model, not a curated record. Lineage: Eukaryota; Metazoa; Chordata; Mammalia; Primates; Galagidae.